AAUGACAUAGACAUGAUAGAGAGACAGAAGGUGAGAUCACAUCUUCAUAUUCUAGAUACACAUUGAAGCUAUCACAAUGCAUUGUCACAAAGCAUUCUAUAAUAGCACAACACAUUCUUCAGGUUCCGUGCAUAGAAGCUAGCAAGUUAGCACAAUACAUUUUUAGGUUCCACCUACAGGUAGCCAGCACAACAGAUUGUCAUACGAAUCUAACAAUUAGGGAAAUAGAAAAGUUGAUAGAAAGUAGCAUGCACAUCCAAGCGACCAGCCCUACUCCACCCCACCUCUCCUCGCCGCCGCCAGAGGCGGUCUCCGGGCAAGUCCGGGGCGCCGCCAAGGAAGGUGGCGGCGGGGCAAGUUGCUGCUCUGCUUCCGCGGGGGCGUUCGGAUCUGGGGCGGCGGCCCCUCUGGUGAGGCACCACCGGCUUAGCGGCGGGCGGUGGUGCGGGCGUUUGGUUCCGGCGUUCUUGGUCGCGCGGGCGGCGGAAUCUCGGAGGACGAGGGCGACGGCGCCAGAUCUGGCGCCCCUCCUCCCUGUACGGCGUGUUCUCCCCCAUCCGGCCCGCCCGUGUUCCAUGGGACGCCGGCGCUGGUGGUGCUAGUGGUGGGGAAUCCAGUCCGGGCGAAAGCCAUGGCCGACCAUGCUCGGCUGCGUCGACGGCGACGCCUGAGGGCGCCGUGUCCCUCCUUGGAGGCGUCUGACAGGUCUGAUCCCCCCACUCCCCCUUCCCCUAGUUCUCCCGGGCGAAAGCUCCAACUUUGUUGGGCGGCGGCGGCGCCAUCGGCGUCGUAUCCUUCUUGAAGGCGCCGUUUAGGGAGCUUGGUGGUCGGUGGGCGCUGUUGGGGUGCGGGGGGUGGCGGCGGUGGUACCCUCCUCGUCCUAGCUCUUGCUUUCCAUCGCCAUUGUAUCUUUCCGCUCUGCAAGGUGGUGGCGCUGUCUAGAGGACGGCGACGUUGGUGGAGCGGUGCUUCAUCUUUCACAUUGAUGAUGGCGGAUCUCGGCGGCAUGGUGCUGUGGAGACUCGGCAUCUGAUGCGCGGAGAUGGACUCGUGCAGGAGGAGGAAGCUGUCUGGCGUCAUGGGGACGUCGAUGGCAGACUGGCCAGACAAGGUAGAAGCCUCAAUUUGAUCUGAAGACGGACCUGUGGAAGAUGGCGGCGACGACACACGAGUGCGUCUGACCGGAUUGCGCCCCAGACCCAGUAUGUGGCUCGGCUGGGGUUACCGAAUGAGUUUCGGCUUCCGGCUUUUGAUGUUAGGCUUAGGUGAGUGGUUUGGGUAGUGGCCCAGCUAGCACCCCCUCAUCAUAUUGGAUAGGAGUAGCGGCACAUGUUGCCAAGAUGAUGGAUUCAGACACAUUGUUGUAAUACUUUGUAUGGUUAUCGAGAAUAAUCAAUAAAGUGGCCGUAUGCAUCUCCCAGAUGCAGAGGCCGGGGGUCAUCCUCCUUUUCUAAAAAAAAAAAAAAAACAUCCAAGCGAAACACAAGUAGAAGGAGCAAUGACCAUAUUAAUCUUGAGCUACUACGACGAUGCAAUGUGCAUUGCAUUCUAGUUCCGGAGGUCCUUG
RNAcentral lists this long non-coding RNA (1567 nucleotides) under Triticum aestivum (bread wheat). Its description in RNAcentral is "long non-coding RNA (TAES_LNC007580)". Lineage: Eukaryota; Viridiplantae; Streptophyta; Magnoliopsida; Poales; Poaceae. The record is from RNAcentral.